AUUGAACGCUGGCGGCAUGCCUUACACAUGCAAGUCGAACGGUAACAGGUCUUCGGAUGCUGACGAGUGGCGAACGGGUGAGUAAUACAUCGGAACGUGCCUAGUAGUGGGGGAUAACUACUCGAAAGAGUGGCUAAUACCGCAUGAGAUCUACGGACGAAAGCAGGGGAUCGCAAGACCUUGUGCUACUAGAGCGGCCGAUGGCAGAUUAGGUAGUUGGUGGGAUAAAAGCUGACCAAGCCGACGAUCUGUAGCUGGUCUGAGAGGAGGAUCAGCCACACUGGGAAGGAGACACGGCCCAGACUCCUACGGGAGGCAGCAGUGGGGAAUUUUGGACAAUGGGCGAAAGCCUGAUCCAGCAAUGCCGCGUGAAGGAUGAAGGCCUUCGGGUUGUAAACUGCUUUUGUCCGGAACGAAAAGCCCAGAGUUAAUACCCUGGGGUCAUGACGGUACCGUAAGAAGAAGCACCGGCUAACUACGUGCCAGCCGCCGCCGUAA
Molecule: ribosomal RNA, 498 nt
Filed under: uncultured bacterium
Lineage: Bacteria
Description: partial 16S ribosomal RNA
Rfam family: Bacterial small subunit ribosomal RNA
Source: RNAcentral